This 288-nucleotide long non-coding RNA is filed under the name Pan troglodytes (chimpanzee). RNAcentral's name for it is "long non-coding RNA NONPTRT001183". The record is from RNAcentral. Lineage: Eukaryota; Metazoa; Chordata; Mammalia; Primates; Hominidae.
GGCGGCGAGCGCUAUCUGGAGCUGACCGCGCGGCUCUUAAUCCCUGGCCUUGGGAAAGUGAAUUGGCCUGAAUAGCAAGGAGGAGAACUUGGGUGUGGAAAUACCGGGAUAAGAAGACUUACCCCAAUAAGUACCUGGAUGUGCAAAGACAGAUGUAGAAAGGAAAUGACAUAUUCCCAGGAGCACAAUAACUGACACUAACUGUGGCCAAAUUCAACAAAUGAGAGAUACAGAUAAAAAUACAGAAUCUCACUCUAUUGCUCAGGCUGGAGUGCAGUGGCCACAAAG